Molecule: long non-coding RNA, 1096 nt
Organism: Schistocerca cancellata (South American locust)
Lineage: Eukaryota; Metazoa; Arthropoda; Insecta; Orthoptera; Acrididae
Exons: 3
Source: RefSeq, a predicted model, not a curated record
GGAGCUGUGUAGUGUGUAGUAUUGCCUUAGUUGUGUUUUAUCUUGUGUCAUGAGUCUACUGUGAGAUUUCAGUAAGGAAUGCUGUAAAGAAGACAAACGCCGAGAAAAAUUUAACUUACAUCGUUUCUACAAUUUACCUGAACAGGUGCUUCGCGUUGUGUAUAGUGCGAAACAGCAACCUUUGCCUUACUUUCAACUGGCUGUAGUGGAGGUUUUUAUUUGAAUUAUAGUCUGUUAACAUCAUAGUAAAAUACUGAAGAUCAACAUGACAAGGCUAAUUUAACCAGGUUUGUGAUGUUCCCUGUCUUGAAGCAGGAGACUGUCGUAGAGCUCCCAAAAUUGGCUGUUCUUGACCAAGACCCGCUCAUUGAGCAGGUGAGUACAACAUGAAAUCAAGUGGAAGUAUGUCUCCAUCUCCCCCAGGAGGUCCAAAAUCUGCUCCUCUUAGCUUUGUGCACCAACCUGACAGCUGACCUCAGAGAGACGAGUAUGUAUCCACUCUCAACCAGAUGGGCAUCGAAGUUGGAACUCUAAACUAUAUCCUGCCUAUCCAAAGCUACAUGCUCACUAAACCUGAUCUCAAGUCUUCUACUUGUCUGUCCCCAUGUAAUAGGCAUUACAGCCUGCGUGUUUCAUCCUGUGCAUCCAAUUCGUCAUGCACAUUUCUUUUAUCAACACCAUUAGCCAAAAUAUGCACAAGAUCAGUUGUAGUAAAAAUGUAUCUGGUUUAAUGAGCCUUUUCAUGUUGAUCAGUAUUUUACUAAGAUGUUGACAUAUCAUCAUAAAAACAAUUUGUAUGAACUUUGUUUCUUUUAUAUUGAUUAUGUAGUGGAUCACUUAACCAUUAUGAUACAAGCAACUAUGCUAGAUUUUACCAUCUGCUGAAUUCAAUUUGAUAUGGAACACUAUUUUAUCAAGACGGUCUUCAAAAAAGUUUUAAGACUUUUUAAAUUUUUUUUAUUUCUAAUGUGAUGUAACAGUUCUGUAAAGCACAGUUGUGUGAAUCUAUGAAUGAUCUUUUACAAAAGAUUUGAUGAAUCACGUCGCCAGUAAUAUAAGAACAAACACAUUGUAAAUCAUAAUUUCUUGAUUUAUU